AACCAUCAAACGAACAACUAC
Molecule: unclassified non-coding RNA, 21 nt
Filed under: Dictyostelium discoideum
Lineage: Eukaryota; Evosea; Eumycetozoa; Dictyosteliales; Dictyosteliaceae
Source: RNAcentral